Molecule: small nuclear RNA, 106 nt
Organism: Talpa occidentalis (Iberian mole)
Lineage: Eukaryota; Metazoa; Chordata; Mammalia; Eulipotyphla; Talpidae
Source: RefSeq, a predicted model, not a curated record
GUGUUUGCUUCCGGAACACAUAUACUAAAACUGCAAAGAUACAGAGAGGGUAGCAUACCCCCUGCACAAGGAUGACACACAAAUCUGUGAUGGGCUCCACAUUUUU